CAUCUAACAGCACAGGGAACAUCCAUCCGUGACUCAAGCCCCAUAUGGGUGCAGGUUCUCUUGUGAGCCCUGAGUCAUCAUCUCCAUCUGACCAGGCCUCCCCUUCUCAUGGCUUCUUGCCAAGGCUGCUCUUAGCCUGGGCUAAUUAGCAUCCUCCACCCCCCCACCCUGUCCUCCGCUCUCGCCCACUCAGGCAGGCUGGAAUUGAAAGGGAGAGCUCAAGAGCUGUGAAAAAUGAGCAAAGCUUGGGAGGCAGGAGAAACUGCAAACUGGGAGCCCCUCAUGCCAAUUUUAGGGCAGCCCCUGUUAUGAGAGCAAUAAAGAAAUGGCAAUUUCUGCCAUUUAGAAGCAAAUGGCCCUUUCAUCUGGAGAGGCUGUUGAAUGCAAAGCACACUCCACCGCGGAGGAGGUGCGGCUCCGGUUCCAAUCUUUGCAUCCCUGAUACCCGAGUAAAAUGCAGCUGAGAGGAGUCACCUAGUUGCCCCUCGGCCCUGAGCCAGUGUUUGGUGAUAUGACCCCUCUGCUCCCCAAGCCUCAUGCCAAGUCAGCCACACUCAACACACCAUCAUCACAGGCCCCUGUGGAAAUGCGCAGAUUGCAGCCAUAGGAAGCCAUGCGGCUGUGUAAUUAUUCAGGUGAGUAGCCUAGAGCCUCUUCUCACAUGCAAAUGGUGGAGGAAUGACUCCAAGGAGCUAAAUAUGACUUUCAGGGGAAGUCUCUUGUGGUACAUUGGGUUAAAGAUCUGCUGUUGUCACUGAAGUGGCUCACUGCUGUGGCAUGGGUUCAAUCCCAGGAAUUUCUACAUGCCGUAGGCAUGGCCAAGAAAAAGAGAAGAUGGCUUUCUUAAAGGUAGGAAUAUGGACUGUUUGACUUACCGCCACAUGACCAGAAUACAGAGAAGGUAGUUGAUAAAUAUGUGUUGGGGAAAAAUGAAUAAAUGAACAUACAAUAAU
Molecule: long non-coding RNA, 953 nt
Filed under: Sus scrofa (pig)
Lineage: Eukaryota; Metazoa; Chordata; Mammalia; Artiodactyla; Suidae
Description: lncRNA (ENSSSCG00015073604.1)
Source: RNAcentral